AACCAGCACCCACGAGCACCACAUUCUGCAUGCCCUCGCCGCCGGUUGCAGUGGCCGUGCCCUCUCCCGCUGCUGCCGUACCGACGUACCGUCUCCACCAACUCCGGCAACCAGCAGCUGCCGUCCACAUUCGGACUCCGGCCAGCCACGGCUGGCCCUCCACAGCGCCGCAGUCCGAAUCAUCCGCAGGCAACCACGGCUGGCCCUGCAACCUCAGCUGCUAGGCACAGGAGCGAAAGAGAUCGUCGCUGCUAGGAGAUCAACGAGGAGGACAGCCACCGAGACAGCGAUCUGCGUUUCCCUGCAUCGAGAUUGCACUCACAAAAAAAGCAACCUACAACAGUUUCAGAUCUUGAUGAGGGCUGCAAUCAGCAUAGUAUAGUGUUUUCUUUGCAUGCAUGAUGUCCUCAGGUGUUGUUCAU
Panicum hallii is the source of this 422-nucleotide long non-coding RNA. RefSeq lists it as uncharacterized. The record is from RefSeq and is a predicted model, not a curated record. The transcript is spliced from 3 exons. Lineage: Eukaryota; Viridiplantae; Streptophyta; Magnoliopsida; Poales; Poaceae.